RNAcentral lists this long non-coding RNA (2313 nucleotides) under Anas platyrhynchos platyrhynchos (common mallard). RNAcentral describes it as "lncRNA (ENSAPLG00000017505.1)". Lineage: Eukaryota; Metazoa; Chordata; Aves; Anseriformes; Anatidae. The record is from RNAcentral.
GUUACAACAAAGGCAGGCUUGUCUUAUGAGAAUCAAAAUUAUGCUUAAUUGAAUUCUGCUUUGGGAGUUUCUGUCAAUCACACAGCUGUGUGAAUUGGAAAAGACACAUGAUUGCAACUAUGAUUAACUUCUCUGGAGUUGCUCUGAGUACUGUAUAUCACAUUUCAUAAAGAGAUGUAGUAUCUCCAGAAUAAUUGCAUUGUUCUGAAGGGUAUCUUUUGAAUGUCAAAAAUAACUCCAUUUUCUUUGAGGGGACAUAACGGGGAUAAGAGGAAGAGACAUUCUUAAACUGAAGGUUGUGAAGAUUUCUAAAAUAGGGUCAGCUGAAAUAGGGGGUGACUUGACACAUGUAAACAAUUAAGGAAGAAUUAAAGAAGGGUGUGUGUGACAGCAGGAAGGAACUUAGGGCCAUGUGGUGCAAAUUUUCAGAGAGAUGAGUGUUUUGCUUGAGGGCAGAAUGGAUUGUUGCAGGGAUUGACUGUGACACCUGUGUCAAAUGAGAGUGAGGAGAGCAUAGCGAGUUUUAUGGGCAUUCGUAAUGCUCUGAAGAUUACUUGAUUUAACUUUGGAAAAGUCAAGGACACAGUGGCAACUAGAGGGACUGUGACCAGAGUGGUGCAUCUCGGUGUUGUGAUGCAGGGUAGGUGGUACAGUAAUCCAGGUGUGUGUUACAGCUGAUGAAAGAGAUGGCCCAGUCAUCUCCCUCAGAAAGUCAUUCCCUGUGCAUGGCUGGCCUGAGCCAACAUACUGCGUGGCAACGUGCCCAUUGUUUGCUGUGAAUUUAGAACCUGAAGCUAAGGAUGAAAGCCCUUGUCAGCUGUGCAGGUUAGUGAACAGCUUUCGUGCAGACCUCGGGUUCCUUCGUGGAGAAGGAAAGAACACUUGGUCCUGUCACCUUGGUGUGUUUCUGUAUCACUGCUCAUUAUCUGCUGAAGAAGCUGCAAUGAUUUUUUCUCUCACCAGAGGCUUUUGCAGUAGUUUUCCACACACCCCUUUCCUGAAGCCACAGGAAGAACCACUGGUGUAAACACAGGGCUCUGCUCUGUGUAGCAGAGCUAUUGCAGUUUUGCUGUGCAUCUAGAGCUCUUGGCCUGCUGGGGGCAGGGUUUUUCAGCUACAAAGGUCCUCAAGAUAGAAAUGUAGGAGAGUGUUAUGCGUUGGUAACUGUCUCUAGUUCCUGUUGAUCUCCAGCUGCUUUUGGUGAGCUUGGUUCUCUCCCUGAUGACAGAGAAGUUUUAUUUUAUUACUGUAAAGCAAUCAGAGGGAAGGAGUAUGUCAGGUGAAGGGGCAACUGUAGCUAGUCUGGACAUAUCUUCUAGUCUUUUUUCAUUGUGUACAGCAUUGCCUUAACAUUUAAAAUACAGACAAAAAAAAAAGUUGGUAGGUUGUGAUGGUGGAUAACGUACCAUUUACAACCCCCCCCCCUCAAUCCUAAUCCCCAUCAGCCAGUUCUUAAGCCACUGAGCUGCUGGCAGCUGUGGUGUGAGAAAAUGAUACUGUUCAGGGUAGCUCUCUGGCACAGGCUGGGAUGAUAUUGGGGAAGACAUGAAAUUAAAAAGAGCUUGUUUAAAAUUGACUGCUGAUUACUCACUUCCAUAAAUACAUUGGAGCACAAGAAAUUUAUUGCACUUGGACAUAUUUGCAAGCUGCUUUUUGGAAAUGGACACAAAUACACUCUGAAUAAUACAGUUUUGCUGCUUGAUUGGCAGGCAAUCUCUCCAUGGUUCUACUGAAAAGCAACUUAGGCUAGUUUUUUCAGUAGGAUGGAUGUCAGAGCCUCAUUUUCAUUCUUCCUGUGAUGCUUAAGAAAUUUUGGAAAGUAGAAGAGAACAAAAGAGAGUGAUUCUACUGUAAAAUGCAAAGUCCUGGUAUUUUUCAUCAAAUUAGGAGUAUAGAAGGUGUUGGUCUGGAUGUUAAAUCACAGAGCAGACUGAAUUUCCAUAUGCAGUAGGAUGAGUGAAAAGGGUAUAGUAAUAUAGAUUAAAAUGUUCUACAUAAAAACUCCUUCUUGACCGUAGAACUAUUAAAUCAAAGAAGUAGAUAUCUAUAAAAAAAAAAAAAAAGGGCAUAACAUUUCAAAUCCCAUUGUAGAAAACUGUGAGUGGGAGAGUCCAGAGUUCUGAACACAGAUACCAAGAUCUUGGUAACCACAGGGUAAGAAGUCUGUGGUUUUAUUUCCCUCCCCCAAAAAAGUGAUACUGUUCAUGAACAUUCCAACUGAAGUUUGACAACAAGCAGGAAAUUAAACAAGUUAUCUCUGAAUUGUGUGCAAAAUACUCUAAAAUAAAGGAAGAAAACAGAAACCUAAUUACA